RNAcentral lists this long non-coding RNA (324 nucleotides) under Malus domestica (apple). RNAcentral's name for it is "long non-coding RNA (MDOM_LNC013926)". Lineage: Eukaryota; Viridiplantae; Streptophyta; Magnoliopsida; Rosales; Rosaceae. The record is from RNAcentral.
UCAUCCAUAUCAUCAUGCAAUCAGGUUCUUUCAAAAUAACGGUUUUUAUCUCGACAUUUUUGCAGCCCUGAUAGCAUGAACAUUCACUAUAAUGCAUGACCUAACUUUACGUUUUUAGAGUUUUAGAUUCUACAUAAAUUGUGUAUGAAUUAUAUUCAUAAUUGUUGAAUUAUGUGAAUUUGAUAUUUGCCAUGAAUUGCAUCAAAUAUAUGUACAUGCAUUAAAAUUAUUGAAUUGCAUAUGCAUCAAUUUGAAUUAUAUAUGAAUUGAAUUGAGAAAAAAAAAUUGGAAUUGGGAAACAAUGGGGUUUUUUAAACCUCUGAC